GGUUACAAGGCCUACGGUUCUGAUUAUGGAUCAAAACACAGGUCUUGACAGGAUAGGAUGGAAAUUCCUACAUUUUACCAUCUUGACCUACCGUCAAUAAGGAUAAAAUUUCUCCAGUUAAGCAUUCUCUAUGAUUAGUUUGUCAGAAACUCUAGAAGGUUUAGCUGUAUCCUCUUAAUAAAUAUUUAAAUAAUCGGUUACACUAACAGAGAAUGUUUGGUAUUCUGAUUUGCCACCAUUGGGACA
RNAcentral lists this unclassified non-coding RNA (246 nucleotides) under Hevea brasiliensis (rubber tree). The record is from RNAcentral. Lineage: Eukaryota; Viridiplantae; Streptophyta; Magnoliopsida; Malpighiales; Euphorbiaceae.